RNAcentral lists this ribosomal RNA (575 nucleotides) under Aplastodiscus sp. 5 MLL-2016. Its description in RNAcentral is "partial large subunit ribosomal RNA". It matches the Rfam family "Bacterial large subunit ribosomal RNA", at positions 1841 to 2618 of the family's 2925-position model. The record is from RNAcentral. Lineage: Eukaryota; Metazoa; Chordata; Amphibia; Anura; Hylidae.
UUGUAUAAGAGGUCCAGCCUGCCCAGUGACCCAGUUUAACGGCCGCGGUAUCCUAACCGUGCGAAGGUAGCGUAAUCACUUGUUCUUUAAAUGAGGACUAGUAUGAACGGCAUCACGAAGGUUGUACUGUCUCCCCUUUUUAAUCAGUGAAACUAAUCUUCCCGUGAAGAAGCGGGAAUGCUAUAAUAAGACGAGAAGACCCUAUGGAGCUUUAAACUAUCUAACACUUGCUGUCACUCUUUCACUUUCAGCAGCUUCACAAAAAACACAGCAUUAUGAUUACAAGUUUUCGAUUGGGGUGAUCACGGAGUAAAAAUCAACCUCCACGCCAAAUGGGCCCAACCCUGAACCAUAAGCCACAACUUUAAGUACUAAAAAAUUAUUGUUUCUUGACCCAAUAAUUUGAUCAACGAACCAAGUUACCCUAGGGAUAACAGCGCAAUCCACUUCAAGAGCCCCUAUCGACAAGUGGGUUUACGACCUCGAUGUUGGAUCAGGGUGUCCAAGUGGUGCAGCCGCUACUAACGGUUCGUUUGUUCAACGAUUAAAACCCUACGUGAUCUGAGUUCAGACCG